This 767-nucleotide small RNA is filed under the name Pongo abelii (Sumatran orangutan). Its description in RNAcentral is "retained intron". The record is from RNAcentral. Lineage: Eukaryota; Metazoa; Chordata; Mammalia; Primates; Hominidae.
UUUUUUUCUUUUUUUGGAGAUGGGAUCUCAGUGUGUUGCCCAGGCUGGUCUCGAACCCCUUGGCUCAAACGAUCCUCCAGCCUCAGCCUCCCAAAGUGCUGGGAUUCGAGGCAUGAGCCACCGAGCCCACCGUGCAGAUGGAUGUUUUUGUGCAUGCUUUUGAUGAAUGCUUUCUCUCUCUCAGCCUGUGCCCAGGGCACCUUCAAGCCCCUGUCAGGAGAAGGGUCCUGCCAGCCAUGCCCAGCCAAUAGCCAUUCUAACACCAUUGGAUCAGCCGUCUGCCAGUGCCGCAUCGGGUACUUCCGGGCACGCACAGACCCCCGGGGUGCACCCUGCACCACCCCUCCUUCAGCUCCGCGGAGCGUGGUUUCCCGCCUGAACGGCUCCUCCCUGCACCUGGAGUGGAGUGCCCCCCUGGAGUCCGGUGGCCGAGAGGACCUCACCUACGCCCUCCGCUGCCGGGAGUGCCGACCCGGAGGCUCCUGCGCGCCCUGUGGGGGAGACCUGACUUUUGACCCCGGCCCCCGGGACCUGGUGGAGCCCUGGGUGGUGGUUCGAGGGCUACGUCCUGACUUCACCUAUACCUUUGAGGUCACUGCAUUGAACGGGGUAUCCUCCUUAGCCACGGGGCCCGUCCCAUUUGAGCCUGUCAAUGUCACCACCGACCGAGAGGUACCUCCCGCAGUGUCUGACAUCCGGGUGACGCGGUCCUCACCCAGCAGCUUGAGCCUGGCCUGGGCUGUUCCCCGGGCACCCAGUGGGGCUGU